AGCUAUUACAGCUCUUUCAGAAUUUUAUCUAGCAGAUUUUCUGACUUUGGUCAGAAAACUCAC
Small nuclear RNA from Rattus norvegicus (Norway rat), 63 nucleotides. Ensembl annotates it as U7 small nuclear RNA. The record is from Ensembl. NCBI's taxonomy places the organism in Eukaryota, Metazoa, Chordata, Mammalia, Rodentia, Muridae.